GCAGGAGUGGUGGAACGGCAGACACGAUAGUUUGAGGGACUAUUGCCUAAUUAGGUAUGAGGGUUCAAAUCCCUUCUCCUGCACCA
RNAcentral lists this transfer RNA (86 nucleotides) under Tissierellia bacterium. RNAcentral describes it as "tRNA-Leu". It matches the Rfam family "tRNA". Rfam says of the family: Transfer RNA (tRNA) molecules are approximately 80 nucleotides in length. Their secondary structure includes four short double-helical elements and three loops (D, anti-codon, and T loops). Further hydrogen bonds mediate the characteristic L-shaped molecular structure. tRNAs have two regions of fundamental functional importance: the anti-codon, which is responsible for specific mRNA codon recognition, and the 3' end, to which the tRNAs corresponding amino acid is attached (by aminoacyl-tRNA synthetases). tRNAs cope with the degeneracy of the genetic code in two manners: having more than one tRNA (with a specific anti-codon) for a particular amino acid; and 'wobble' base-pairing, i.e. permitting non-standard base-pairing at the 3rd anti-codon position. The record is from RNAcentral. Lineage: Bacteria; Bacillati; Bacillota; Tissierellia.